GAUGAACGCUCGCUACAGGCUUAACACAUGCAAGUCGCGGGGCAGCAUGGGGGUUGCUUGCAACUCCCGAUGGCGACCGGCGCACGGGUGAGUAACGCGUAUCCAACCUGCCCUUCACCACGGGAUAACCCGGCGAAAGUCGGACUAAUACCGUAUGUUGUCCAUUGACGGCAUCCGAUUUGGACGAAAGGCUUUGCGGUGAAGGAUGGGGAUGCGUCCGAUUAGCCAGACGGCGGGGUAACGGCCCACCGUGGCUACGAUCGGUAGGGGUUCUGAGAGGAAGGUCCCCCACACUGGAACUGAGACACGGUCCAGACUCCUACGGGAGGCAGCAGUGAGGAAGAUUGGUCAAUGGGCGUAAGCCUGAACCAGCCAAGUAGCGUGCAGGAUGACGGCCCUAGGGGUUGUAAACUGCUUUUAUGCGGGGAUAAAGUGGCCCACGUGUGGGCUUUUGCAGGUACCGCAUGAAUAAGGACCGGCUAAUUCCGUG
This 490-nucleotide ribosomal RNA is filed under the name uncultured bacterium. RNAcentral describes it as "partial 16S ribosomal RNA". It matches the Rfam family "Bacterial small subunit ribosomal RNA", at positions 28 to 507 of the family's 1533-position model. The record is from RNAcentral.